RNAcentral lists this ribosomal RNA (436 nucleotides) under Micrococcus luteus. Its description in RNAcentral is "bacterial SSU rRNA". It matches the Rfam family "Bacterial small subunit ribosomal RNA", at positions 20 to 456 of the family's 1533-position model. The record is from RNAcentral. Lineage: Bacteria; Bacillati; Actinomycetota; Actinomycetes; Micrococcales; Micrococcaceae.
UGGCUCAGGAUGAACGCUGGCGGCGUGCUUAACACAUGCAAGUCGAACGAUGAAGCCCAGCUUGCUGGGUGGAUUAGUGGCGAACGGGUGAGUAACACGUGAGUAACCUGCCCUUAACUCUGGGAUAAGCCUGGGAAACUGGGUCUAAUACCGGAUAGGAGCGUCCACCGCAUGGUGGGUGUUGGAAAGAUUUAUCGGUUUUGGAUGGACUCGCGGCCUAUCAGCUUGUUGGUGAGGUAAUGGCUCACCAAGGCGACGACGGGUAGCCGGCCUGAGAGGGUGACCGGCCACACUGGGACUGAGACACGGCCCAGACUCCUACGGGAGGCAGCAGUGGGGAAUAUUGCACAAUGGGCGAAAGCCUGAUGCAGCGACGCCGCGUGAGGGAUGACGGCCUUCGGGUUGUAAACCUCUUUCAGUAGGGAAGAAGCGAAAG